RNAcentral lists this small RNA (1661 nucleotides) under Pongo abelii (Sumatran orangutan). RNAcentral describes it as "retained intron". The record is from RNAcentral. Lineage: Eukaryota; Metazoa; Chordata; Mammalia; Primates; Hominidae.
AUAACAAAUUCUUCACUGGAUGAGCUAGUGCUAUAAUUUGGAGGCAAGAAAACCAUGUCCUAAGAUUCUGAAGAAGCACAUACAUAUCAUGUCUUGAUGCUUCUCAGGGUGGAUUUCCUGAUUGUAAUCUCUUCUAUGACUAUUCCAUUUUAGGAUGAUGACUUGGAAACAGAUGUGAACAAGCUGAGUUCCAAAUCUGGUCUUGACCGACCUGAAGAGGAACUGAUGCAAUAUGAGGCGAUGUGUCUUGAGCUCUCCUAUAGCUUUGAGGAACUGCAGUCCAAACUUGGAGAUGAUUUGAACUCUGAAAAGACUCUGUAUGCCAAUCACCACCACAUUCCGGCCACUGCCUCCUCAAAGCAGCAUUGCUACAACAAGGACCAAAGCUCCUGUGGGCAAGAAAGAGAAGAUGCUGUCCAGACUUCCCUUCUGUGCAUGGUGAAGAUGGGAAGGUCCACUGUGCAUCUAGGCUCCAAAAAAUAUCCUGGAGUGAACCCAUACCAAAAUGUGCAAUCCAAUAGUCUCAGGAGAGAUUCUUCUGAAAGUGAAAUCCCUGACAUUCAGGCUUCUCUGAAAGCAGAUGCCUGGGACAUAGAUGCAAUUUUCUGCCCAAGGAUGAGUGCCUCCUUUUCUAAUUCCACUAGGACUAGAGAAGCUGUCGAAGUAAUAGAUAAGCUUCUGCAGACACAUCUGAAGCGUGUCCCUUUCCACGAUCCCUAUCUUUAUAUGGCCAAAGCUGGAAGAACCAGCUCUGUGGUGGACUUCAAGAUGAUGGCAUUUCCGGAUGUCUGGGGACACUGUCCCCCUCCCACCACCCAGCCUAUGUUGGAACGCAAAUGUGGAGUCCAAAGGAUCAGGAUAUUUGAGGAUAUUCGGAGGCUCAUCCAGCCAAGCGAUGUUAUAAAUAAAGUUGUCUUCAGUUUAGAUGAGCCUUGGCCUUUGCAAGACAAUGCUUCCAAUUGUUUACGGUUCUUCUCCAAAUUUGAGUCAGGAAAUCUUCGCAAAGCCAUCCAAGUGCGUGAGUUCGAGUAUGACUUGCUGGUCAACGCAGAUGUGAACAGCACCCAGCAUCAGCAGUGGUUCUAUUUCAAAGUGAGUGGUAUGCAGGCGGCCAUCCCUUACCACUUCAACAUCAUCAACUGUGAGAAGCCCAACAGCCAGUUUAAUUAUGGGAUGCAGCCCACCCUGUAUUCUGUGAAGGAGGCUGUUCUUGGCAAACCCACUUGGAUACGGACAGGCUAUGAAAUAUGUUAUUACAAAAAUCAUUAUCGCCAGAGUGCAGCUGUUGCAGGCGGAGCGUCUGGGAAGUGCUACUAUACCCUCACCUUUGCUGUCACCUUCCCACACAAUGAGGAUGUCUGCUACCUGGCCUACCACUAUCCCUAUACCUACACAGCCCUCAUGACUCACCUUGACAUCCUGGAAAAGAGUGUCAACCUCAAAGAGGUCUACUUCCGGCAAGAUGUCCUCUGCCAGACGCUGGGAGGGAAUCCGUGUCCCUUGGUGACCAUCACGGCCAUGCCUGAGUCCAACAGUGAUGAGCAUCUAGAGCAGUUCCGUGAGUAAAAUGGGAUCUUCUUCGUGGAAGAUUUGACUAAGGGUGUCCUUUAUAGUCUUGGAAGCAUUCUGUCUCUUCUAGAUCGAAAGCUCCAUAAAGGGAU